RNAcentral lists this small nucleolar RNA (270 nucleotides) under Sinocyclocheilus rhinocerous. RNAcentral's name for it is "Small Cajal body specific RNA 6 (ENSSRHG00000035472.1)". It matches the Rfam family "Small Cajal body specific RNA 6". From Rfam's summary of the family: U88 is small Cajal body specific RNA (scaRNA). scaRNAs are a novel class of small nuclear RNAs which localise to the Cajal bodies. The record is from Rfam by way of RNAcentral. Lineage: Eukaryota; Metazoa; Chordata; Actinopteri; Cypriniformes; Cyprinidae.
GGUCAGUGAUGUGAUGUAAAAGGUCUGAUGCCCAGGUCUCCUUCCAGUCCCCUCGUCUUUCCCAGCCAGCUCUACUAAUUUUCCCAGCAUGCUCUAGUUGUGCAGCCCUGGUCUGAUGUGGCGGCUGACAUUAAUGGAUGUUUCUGCUGAAUAAGAGUCUUUUUAGAGAAUCAAGUGAGACUCCGACAGAAACAUCCCACAGAAACACAAACACAGGAGGGCCAGACUGAAGGAGCCUGGUCAGCUGAUCUCAAAAAUCAUACUGAGACC